CGGUGGAGUAUGUGGCUUAAUUCGAUGCAACGCGAAGAACCUUACCAGGCCUUGACAUGCAUCUCUAAGUUGGUGAAAGCACGGCCCGGAAUUGACAGGUGUGACGAGCGCAACCCCUGUGAACUGUUGCCACCCGGGACGUCAAGCAGUAUGGCCCUUACGGCCUGGCUGCAUACAUGCCCAGCACAAACGAUCCAAGACCGCAAGGUGGAGGAUCACUAAAACUGGGCCCAGUUCAGAUUGGAGUGCAACUCGACUCCAUGAAGCCGGAAUCGCUAGUAAUGGGUAUCAGCUACGACGCCGUGAAUACGUUCCCGGGCCUUGUACACACCGCCGUCACAUCAUGGAAGUCACUUGUAGCCGAAGCCGGCGCGCCAACCAGCAAUGGAAGCAGCCGUCUACGUAUGACCGGUAACUGGGAUGAAGUCGUACAAGGU
This 437-nucleotide ribosomal RNA is filed under the name uncultured Verrucomicrobiota bacterium. RNAcentral describes it as "bacterial SSU rRNA". It matches the Rfam family "Bacterial small subunit ribosomal RNA", at positions 930 to 1497 of the family's 1533-position model. The record is from RNAcentral. Lineage: Bacteria; Pseudomonadati; Verrucomicrobiota.